CUUGAUCGAGCCCAACAACAACGGGCGGUCCUGCGGCCGGUCCUGCCCGUACGUGGCCAGCAACGCCUGCGCCUC
RNAcentral lists this antisense RNA (75 nucleotides) under Micromonospora citrea. RNAcentral's name for it is "ASpks TB sRNA". It matches the Rfam family "ASpks TB sRNA". Lineage: Bacteria; Bacillati; Actinomycetota; Actinomycetes; Micromonosporales; Micromonosporaceae. The record is from RNAcentral.